Molecule: ribosomal RNA, 484 nt
Filed under: uncultured bacterium
Lineage: Bacteria
Description: partial 16S ribosomal RNA
Rfam family: Bacterial small subunit ribosomal RNA
Source: RNAcentral
AUUGAACGCUGGCGGCAGGCCUAACACAUGCAAGUCGAGCGGAUGAAGGGAGCUUGCUCCUGGAUUCAGCGGCGGACGGGUGAGUAAUGCCUAGGAAUCUGCCUGGUAGUGGGGGAUAACGUCCGGAAACGGGCGCUAAUACCGCAUACGUCCUGAGGGAGAAAGUGGGGGAUCUUCGGACCUCACGCUAUCAGAUGAGCCUAGGUCGGAUUAGCUAGUUGGUGGGGUAAAGGCCUACCAAGGCGACGAUCCGUAACUGGUCUGAGAGGAUGAUCAGUCACACUGGAACUGAGACACGGUCCAGACUCCUACGGGCGGCAGCAGUGGGGAAUAUUGGACAAUGGGCGAAAGCCUGAUCCAGCCAUGCCGCGUGUGUGAAGAAGGUCUUCGGAUUGUAAAGCACUUUAAGUUGGGAGGAAGGGCAGUAAGUUAAUACCUUGCUGUUUUGACGUUACCAACAGAAUAAGCACCGGCUAACUUCGUG